RNAcentral lists this transfer RNA (56 nucleotides) under Daphnia pulex (common water flea). It matches the Rfam family "tRNA", at positions 9 to 63 of the family's 71-position model. Rfam says of the family: Transfer RNA (tRNA) molecules are approximately 80 nucleotides in length. Their secondary structure includes four short double-helical elements and three loops (D, anti-codon, and T loops). Further hydrogen bonds mediate the characteristic L-shaped molecular structure. tRNAs have two regions of fundamental functional importance: the anti-codon, which is responsible for specific mRNA codon recognition, and the 3' end, to which the tRNAs corresponding amino acid is attached (by aminoacyl-tRNA synthetases). tRNAs cope with the degeneracy of the genetic code in two manners: having more than one tRNA (with a specific anti-codon) for a particular amino acid; and 'wobble' base-pairing, i.e. permitting non-standard base-pairing at the 3rd anti-codon position. The record is from Rfam by way of RNAcentral. Lineage: Eukaryota; Metazoa; Arthropoda; Branchiopoda; Diplostraca; Daphniidae.
GGUCUAGUAGUAUGAUACUUGCUUCGGGUGUAAGUGAUCCCGGGUUCAAUUCCCGG